GCAUACCUAUCUCUGCCUCUUUGAAGUAUUAAUAUAUUUCUAACCCUCUAGACCCAGAGUUGAUGAUAAUUUUCCUUAUAGCAGAAUAUGAUCCUAUUCCCUACAAGAUACUUAGGGAUUUUAGACAAGCCAUCUCCUCUCACAGACCUACAUCUUCAUGUAUGAUGGGAUUGUUGAGAGGGAUAGCUAAAACAGAGCAUCUGAUCACCAGGACUGUUCCAGGACUUGUUAGAACCUGCUGAUGAAUCCUUUCAUUUCAGGACUUGGUGGCAUGAAGAGACUAUGUCUCCAUCUGGCCUCGGAGAGAUGUUAGUGGAAAUGCUGUCCUUUGACAACGCUAGCGGAGAAUGUCAACGGGCUCUACACUCAGUUCAAACAGCAGAAGGCACCUGGGAAGAUAACAUGGAGCCUGCAGUGACUCUGGGUCUCCAAGCUGCUUCCUCCUAGACAGGAGAGUCUUUGUGCUCUUGGGACUCCUUGCCUUAUGCCUGUGGUCUGCUUUUGUUUCUGCCUUACCAAGCCUGGAUACUCUUGCUUUUGUUUCUACUUUUAGGUUGUAAAGACACAGAUGCCACUGCUCUCUGAGUUCCUUAGAUGUCUGGUUCAAAAGUGCUUUGGGUAUGGAUAAUAUUAAAACAUAUGUUGUCAUGUGAUGUUUCAGCUCACUGAAAAGCUGGCUUUGAGAUGGGAUUUGACCCCCCUACUUCAGACCCAAGCAUGUUUGUCUCAAAGUUUCUUUCAAACUCUGAAACUAAGGCUAUUCCUCUGACUCUGUGACAGGCAGGGAAGGGGGAAGGGAGGGAGGGGGAAAGAGAGACAGAGACAGAGACAGAGACACACAGAGAGAGACAGAAAGAGACAGAGGGAGAGAGAGAUGCCAGAAUAAAAAACAUUAAUGGAAAGAAUUCCUACUUUCAAACAUGGCUACUGUGUCAGGAGAAUUGAAAAUGAAAAUGAAGGAACCUCAAACAAAUUCUGAGCUGCCACUAAUUAAUUAUUUAAUGCUAAAACAUUGUUUGGGUUGUGAAUAGUUUCCUAGUAUGUGUUCUUUAAUAUUAUAGGAAACUCUCCUCUUGUCUCAAAUCAGUUGGAUCAAUUAUGAAGAGAGCAAUAAAAUAAUGAUUGUCUGUUGGUGGAGCUGGCUUCAUAGGUACCCUUGGCUUCUUCAAUUUCUGGGACCAUGGAUAACUGUUAAGAAAAAUGUUGAUUUUAGUUUAAACUGCACUUUUCAAUGGCUCGUGGACUCCACAGGUCAGCUGUGCACUUGUGAGCACAUCUGGUGAUAGUAAUGAGAACUACUCUGUAUGUUUAUCAGUGCUUCUCUGUCCCUGCUUUGAACCUUGAGCUAUCUUGGAAUAAAAGCUUCAGAGAAUCUCAGUAAAGGUCUAUGGAGCAGUAAUCACCUGAUUCUGUCAAAUCUCAAGUUCCUCUUCACUUCCUUGGCUCUAGUCACUAGUGAGUCUUGAUAAAGAGAAACUUCAAUUGAGAAAAUGCCUCCAUCUGAUUAGCCUGUAGACAAAAUUGAUGUAGGAGGGCCUGUCCACUGUGAGUGGUGGUUCUCAGAUGUAUAAUAAAGCAGGCUGAACAGACAUGGAAAGCCUGCCUCUAAGCAACAUUCCUCAUGGCUUCUCCUCCAGUCCUUGCCUCAGUUCCUGCUUUGACUUCCCUCAGUUUUGGACUAUUAUCAGGAAUUGUAAGGUGAAAUAAAUCCUUUCCUCCCUGUGGUGGUGGAAUAGGUAUGGCUGCCAUAGACUCCUGAGUUUGAAUGCUUGUCGUAUAGGGAGUGACACUACUAGGAAGUGUGGCCUUGUUGGAGAAAGUGAGUCACUGUGGAGGUGAGCUUUCUGGUCUCAUAUGUGCUCAAGCUAGGCCUAGUACACAGUUGCUUCUGCAGCCUGCAGAUCAAGAUGUAGAAUUCUCAGCUCCUUCUCCAGAACCAUGCCUGCCUGCAUCCCACCAUGAUGAUAAUGGACUAAACCUCUGAAACUGUAAGCCAGCUGCAAUUAAAUAUUUUCCUUUAUAAGAUUUGCCAUGGUCAGCAGGGUGGUGGUGGCACAGGCCUUUAAUCUUAGCACUCAGGAGGCAAAGGCAGGUGGAUCUCAGCAUGAUCUUCAGCAUGUGCAGCCUCAUGCUUAAGGUGGGCGGGGUUGAAUUUCCCUAGGCUUCUGUCGCUCCUCCUGAGAAUGAGGCCUGGGGGCGGGUUCAGAAAGAGGUGAGUCCUCUGGCUGUGCUGAAGGUGGGGAAGAGGGCUGAGGUCAGUGGGGAGCAGAGCUAUGGUGAGGUUUCCAACUUAGGGGAAGUUGGGAUUGCAGUUGAUGAGCACAUAACUGAGCGGGUCUGAGGGUGGGGCCUGACUUUGAAGCAAUUUAUAGAGGACUCUUGGAAAAAGGGCAGGGUCCUUAGCGUUUGGGAAUGUGGUGGGGUCAGAGAUACAAGAUACACACACAUCGGGAUCAGAAGCUUGGAGUAGGCUUGGUACUGAAGGGUUGGUACUUCCUGGGCCAAGGUCCAAGCUGCAGGUGGAACCUGAUAUCUGAGGAUCUGGGUUGUGGGGGCUUCCUGGCAUACUUCUCACUGAUCCAAUCUUCCCACCCACCUUUCUUCAGCUGAAGUGGUGUGCUUGGGUUGCCGUCUACUGUUCCUUUAUCAGCUUUGCCAAAUCCCGGAGCUUGGAGGAUGCUGGGGACCAGCCUCAGCAGUUUCGAGGGGCUCAAAGGGCAGGGAUGUCUGGCAGGCACAAGAAAAGACUCGGACACAGGAGUUGGUACAAGCUGACGAAUCUUGUCAGAUCUGGAGAUGUGCGUCUUCUCCACCUCCUCCCGAUCUGACUCAACCCCAGUCUUUUAUUGUAAUAAUACAAGGAAAUAGGGCAUGAAAAAAUCCAACAGGUAACUGGGUUUUUUCACAAUAGUUUCAAAAGUUCUUUUUGGAAAGCAGCAAAGUGUACCCCGUGCCCCUUGAUUGCACAUAGAAGUUCCCAGGCAGAAAGCCAAAGCAUACCCGCUUAUUCUUUUGCAGGUUAAUAAUUAUCAGAACAUCUGAUGUUAGCACCCCAGAGGCCAUCUACUGCGGUUUCUCAGAAAGCACAGAAGUACAAGCAAUGGUUUAAGGUGCCAGACUGCCAGCUUCCUCUCAGCUUAAGUUCUUCUUCAUCACUCUGUAAUUCAUCAAGCUGUCUUCUAACUAGUUCUGGGCAACUCUUGUCUUCUAUCCUAUCUAUAUGUCACUCCAUCUACAGCUUUUGUUGCCAGCCUUCAGGGUUUUUCCCAUGACCUGCAUAACAGCUUUAACUCCUGCCACUGUCACAAUCUCAGGAUCAUUUCUAAUUUCAUGGAAACCACUGCAGGAGAGAGAAAGAAAAUCAUAAAGAGGAAAUAGAGUAGGGGGAUUACAAGAACCAGCAACAGUUGGAUGGGCUCUCAAUCUCUGCCGUGGUGAUGUCCUAUCUGCAGAAUCCUCAGCCCAUGACGCCCCCGUGGUGAUGUCUACUAGAAGGCUUGGAUCCUGGACUCCUGUCCACCUUCUCUCUGGCCUAGCCUUUGACUGCCUCCAACCUGCCCUUGGCUGCUGUCUGUAAACUCACCUGAGUGUUGUCUCUGGUCUCCCAGCUGAAUGAGGGAGGAUGGCCCUUUCCUUGGGGUCCUGCUUCUGCUUUGACAAAGGGGUAAACCCGCAGACUUCCCUUUUAUCUCCCUCCCCUGGCUACUGUUAUGAGAAACACUGUUCAUGUUUCUAAGUAUUCGCUUGUUUUCUUGUUGAAAUCAGUUGGUAAAAAAAUUUUCCACUAUG
Long non-coding RNA from Peromyscus eremicus (cactus mouse), 3789 nucleotides. RefSeq lists it as uncharacterized. Lineage: Eukaryota; Metazoa; Chordata; Mammalia; Rodentia; Cricetidae. The transcript has 2 exons. The record is from RefSeq and is a predicted model, not a curated record.